AACCAGCUCUUCAAGUGGUCGGGAAUAUUAUUGGGCUUAAAGUGUCCGUAGCCGGUUUGGUAAGUUCCUGGUUAAAUCUGGCAGCUUAACUGUCAGUCAGCUAGGAAUACUACUUUACUAGAGGGUGGGAAAGGUUUGAGGUACUCCAGGGGUAGCGGUGAAAUGCGAUAAUCCUUGGGGGACCACCAGUGGCGAAGGCGUCAGACUGGAACACGCCUGACGGUGAGGGACGAAAGCCAGGGGAGCGAACGGGAUUAGAUACCCCCGUA
This 269-nucleotide ribosomal RNA is filed under the name uncultured prokaryote. RNAcentral describes it as "partial 16S ribosomal RNA". It matches the Rfam family "Archaeal small subunit ribosomal RNA", at positions 474 to 743 of the family's 1478-position model. The record is from RNAcentral.